UGGAUAAGACAUGCAAGUCGAGCGCUGGUUACAGGGUAGCAAUAUUCUGUAAUGGAGCGGCGCAAGGGUGCGUAACACGUGGGUAAUCUGCCAUGAAGUCUGGAAUAACCUGCUGAAAGGCGAGCUAAUACCGGAUGUGAACAUCGGGCGGCAUCGUUUGAUGUUCAAAGUUGGGGACCGUAAGGCCUGACGCUUCAUGAUGAGCCCGCGGCCUAUCAGCUAGUUGGUGAGGUAACGGCUCACCAAGGCUAAGACGGGUAGCUGGUCUGAGAGGACGACCAGCCACACUGGAACUGAGACACGGUCCAGACACCUACGGGUGGCAGCAGUCGAGAAUUUUUCACAAUGGGCGAAAGCCUGAUGGAGCGACGCCGCGUGGGGGAUGAAUGGCCUUCGGCCCGUAAACCCCUGUCAUUCGCGAACAAUGCCUGCGGCCUAAUACGUCGCAGGUUGAUAGUAGCGGAAGAGGAAGGGACGGCUAACUCUGUGCCAGCAGCAGC
This 500-nucleotide ribosomal RNA is filed under the name uncultured bacterium. RNAcentral's name for it is "bacterial SSU rRNA". It matches the Rfam family "Bacterial small subunit ribosomal RNA", at positions 45 to 518 of the family's 1533-position model. The record is from RNAcentral.